This 301-nucleotide ribosomal RNA is filed under the name uncultured bacterium. RNAcentral's name for it is "partial 16S ribosomal RNA". It matches the Rfam family "Bacterial small subunit ribosomal RNA", at positions 509 to 807 of the family's 1533-position model. The record is from RNAcentral.
CAGUAGCCGCGGGAAUACAGAGGGUGCGAGCGUUAAUCGGAUUUACUGGGCGUAAAGCGUGCGUAGGCGGCUUUUUAAGUCGGAUGUGAAAUCCCUGAGCUUAACUUAGGAAUUGCAUUCGAUACUGGGAAGCUAGAGUAUGGGAGAGGAUGGUAGAAUUCCAGGUGUAGCGGUGAAAUGCGUAGAGAUCUGGAGGAAUACCGAUGGCGAAGGCAGCCAUCUGGCCUAAUACUGACGCUGAGGUACUAAAGCAUGGGGAGCAAACAGGAUUAGAUACCCCUGUAGUCCCUGUCUCUUAUAC